Molecule: ribosomal RNA, 182 nt
Filed under: uncultured bacterium
Lineage: Bacteria
Description: partial 16S ribosomal RNA
Rfam family: Bacterial small subunit ribosomal RNA
Source: RNAcentral
CAGGUGGUGCAUGGUUGUCGUCAGCUCGUGUCGUGAGAUGUUGGGUUAAGUCCCGCAACGAGCCGCAACCCCUAUUGUUAGUUGCUACGCAAGAGCACUCUAGCGAGACUGCUGUCGCAAGGCAGAGGAAGGUGGGAUGACGUACAAAUCAUCAUCGUCCCUUAUAUCUAGGGCCGCAAACG